Molecule: long non-coding RNA, 1877 nt
Filed under: Homo sapiens (human)
Lineage: Eukaryota; Metazoa; Chordata; Mammalia; Primates; Hominidae
Description: HSALNT0003062
Source: RNAcentral
CAGGACAUCACAGGUGCAUUGUUUAUUUGUAUGGGGGUAAAACAGGAGACCAGGGCAGUCACUUGAUGGGAGGCACACAGCUAGUGAGAAGCCCAGGCAGGGUUCGGACUCAGGUCUAAGUCAAGAGCUAGUGCCCGCAACUGCCACCAGCACCACCCUUCGGGGAUCCUUCUGUCUGCAGUGACAGAGCAGCAGCUCCAGAACUGACUUGCCGGGCGUUGAACCUGGUUCUGUUACUUAACUAAUUGCAGAAUUUCGGGCAAGUCAUUGAACUGCUCUGCCUCCGUGUUCCCACCUGUAAAAGGGGAACAUGACUGUAAAGGUUACACAGGUUAACAUGAAGUACAUAGAACCGUGCAUGGUGUGAGUUGUUGUUACCAUUGUUUAUUAAGCCCCCACCUUCCUGCUUCUUUGCCCUUUCCUCUCCUUUCCUCUCGUAACUGACUUAAAGCAUUGUGGGUCACUGGGAGGGGCGUGUUGGUCAGGGUCAACAGGGGGUGAAGCCAGGACUCAGCACUGUAGUCAGAAGGUGACAUAUUUAACAGGGCCUGCCAGUGCUGUUCUGAGAACUGCCCCCACCCAUUGGGCUCCCUGUACCUCAGUUUCCAUAUCUGUGAAAUGGUCAUAGCAAUAGUACGGGCCCACCACGGAUUAAACGAGAUAAGACUUAUAAAUUACAAAGCCUGAAACAAAGGAGGGGUUGCCUGUAGUCUGGCCACAGUGCACAGGCCUUCAACACGUGAUUAAAUAGACCUGGAUUGAAAUCCCAGAUCCUCUGCAUGAUAUGGGCAAAUAGCAUCCCUCCCCGAGUCUCAAUAUUCUUAUCUACAGAAUGGGAGCAAUAUAAUGAGGGCAGUGGUUCUCAACAGGUCGUCUCCAAAACAGAAGCAACAGGCCGGGCGAGGUGGUUCGUGUCUGUAAUUCCAGCACUUUGGGAGAUCGAGGCAGGAGGAAUACUUGAGCCCAGGAGUUUGAGACCAGCCUGGGCAAUAUGGCAAGACCCCAUCUCUAUUUAAAAAAAAACAAACAAAUCCAGAAGCAACAGCACCCUAUGGGAACUGUUAGAAAAUGCAAAUUCUAGUAAGCCCUUCUUGUGACUGUGAUGCUUGCUGAAGUUUGAGAAGCACUGGAUUAGAAUGAUCUACUCCUCAGCUGAUUGGGCGAGGAGUAUCCUGAUUCCAAGCAGGGGCAAUUGCAUCUCUCUCCUGGGAACUGGGGAUUGGAGAUGUUAGACUCUGUGUCACUUCUAUGAAAGAUGGGGGCUAACUUGGGGGUCCAGACGUCAUCUGGGGGCAUCCGCUUGCCUUCACAGUUGAGAGGGCAGUUCUGCAGAGAGAGAUGCAGAAAAGAGAGGUCUCAGAGUAAUAUCCCAGUCCGGGUCUGGGGGGCACCCAGGUCUCAACCCUGUGUCCACUGAGACUGAGCAGCUCCCCUGCUCCUGGGUUCUUCUGAUUACUCCCUUUUUUCUCCCAAGUUUGUUUGAAGGGGCUUCUGUCACUUGCAAGUAAAAGGGUUCUGGCAUGUUGAGGGAUGGGGGUCAGGAUCAAGGGGGUGCAUGAGGUUCAAGGGUCAUAAGCCUGAGGAGAGCCACUUCCCUUCCUUUCCCUGCCCAACUGCUAGCCCAGGCAGAAGAUUUGAGUCCCACUGCCUCUGAGAAUGGGACCAAGGGGAAAAGGAAGGUGUCUGGGCAGUGAUAAAACAGGUGAGCUACCAGGACUCAUCUCAGAUCACUUCUGGGUUCCCACACUGUUCUUGGUCCAGGUUCUUGUAAUGAAACCUCACUCAUCUCCCCAGAGAGCUGUAGGAGCAACCCUAUCCCAACUGGUUGGAAAAGAGCCAUGAUAAAGGUGAAGAGUCGAGAUGCAUGCACGUCUGCG